RNAcentral lists this ribosomal RNA (447 nucleotides) under uncultured bacterium. Its description in RNAcentral is "partial 16S ribosomal RNA". It matches the Rfam family "Bacterial small subunit ribosomal RNA", at positions 29 to 523 of the family's 1533-position model. The record is from RNAcentral.
AGCGAACGCUGGCGGCAGGCCUAACACAUGCAAGUCGAGCGCCCAGCAAUGGGAGCGGCAGACGGGUGAGUAACGCGUGGGGAUGUGCCCAAUGGUGCGGAAUAACCCAGGGAAACUUGGAUUAAUACCGAAUGUGCCCUUCGGGGGAAAGAUUUAUCGCCAUUGGAUCAACCCGCGUCUGAUUAGCUAGUUGGUGAGGUAAAGGCUCACCAAGGCGACGUUCAGUAGCUGGUCUGAGAGGAUGAUCAGCCACACUGGCGCUGAGACACGGCCCAGACUCCUACGGGAGGCAGCAGUGGGGAAUAUUGGACAAUGGGCGCAAGCCUGAUCCAGCCAUGCCGCGUGAGUGAUGAAGGCCGUAGGGUUGUAAAGCUCGUUCGCCGGUGAAGAUAAUGACGGUAACCGGAGAAGAAGCCCCGGCUAACUUCGUGCCAGCCGCCGCAGUAA